Molecule: ribosomal RNA, 497 nt
Filed under: uncultured bacterium
Lineage: Bacteria
Description: partial 16S ribosomal RNA
Rfam family: Bacterial small subunit ribosomal RNA
Source: RNAcentral
GAUGAACGCUGGCGGCGUGCCUAAUACAUGCAAGUCGAGCGAACGGACGAGAAGCUUGCUUCUCUGAUGUUAGCGGCGGACGGGUGAGUAACACGUGGCUAACCUACCUAUAAGACUGGGAUAACUUCGGGAAACCGUAGCUAAUACCGGAUAAUAUUUUGAACCGCAUGGUUCAAAAGUGAAAGACGGUCUUGCUGUCACUUAUAGAUGGAUCCGCGCUGCAUUAGCUAGUUGGUAAGGUAACGGCUUACCAAGGCAACGAUGCAUAGCCGACCUGAGAGGGUGAUCGGCCACACUGGAACUGAGACACGGUCCAGACUCCUACGGGAGGCAGCAGUAGGGAAUCUUCCGCAAUGGGCGAAAGCCUGACGGAGCAACGCCGCGUGAGUGAUGAAGGUCUUCGGAUCGUAAAACUCUGUUAUUAGGGAAGAACAUAUGUGUAAGUAACUGUGCACAUCUUGACGGUACCUAAUCAGAAAGCCACGGCUAACUACGUG